AACGAACGCUGGCGGCAUGCCUAAUACAUGCAAGUCGAACGAGAUCUUCGGAUCUAGUGGCGCACGGGUGCGUAACGCGUGGGAAUCUGCCCUUGGGUUCGGAAUAACGUCGGGAAACUGACGCUAAUACCGGAUGAUGACGUAAGUCCAAAGAUUUAUCGCCCAGGGAUGAGCCCGCGUAGGAUUAGCUAGUUGGUGGGGUAAAGGCCUACCAAGGCGACGAUCCUUAGCUGGUCUGAGAGGAUGAUCAGCCACACUGGGACUGAGACACGGCCCAGACUCCUACGGGAGGCAGCAGUAGGGAAUAUUGGACAAUGGGGGCAACCCUGAUCCAGCAAUGCCGCGUGAGUGAUGAAGGCCUUAGGGUUGUAAAGCUCUUUUACCAGAGAUGAUAAUGACAGUAUCUGGGGAAUAAGCCCCGGCUAACUCCGUGCCAGCCGCCGCCGUAA
RNAcentral lists this ribosomal RNA (449 nucleotides) under uncultured bacterium. Its description in RNAcentral is "partial 16S ribosomal RNA". It matches the Rfam family "Bacterial small subunit ribosomal RNA", at positions 29 to 523 of the family's 1533-position model. The record is from RNAcentral.